This 109-nucleotide ribosomal RNA is filed under the name Cervus hanglu yarkandensis (Yarkand deer). The record is from RNAcentral. Lineage: Eukaryota; Metazoa; Chordata; Mammalia; Artiodactyla; Cervidae.
GUCUACAGCCAUGCUACCCUGAAUGUGCCUGAUCUCAGAAGCAAAGCAGGGUCAGGCCUGGUUAGUACUUGGAUGGGUAACCGCCUGGGAAUACUGGUUGCUGCAGGCU